Molecule: transfer RNA, 72 nt
Filed under: Callorhinchus milii (elephant shark)
Lineage: Eukaryota; Metazoa; Chordata; Chondrichthyes; Chimaeriformes; Callorhinchidae
Description: tRNA-Asp (GTC) (tRNA-Asp-GTC-24-1)
Rfam family: tRNA
About the family: Transfer RNA (tRNA) molecules are approximately 80 nucleotides in length. Their secondary structure includes four short double-helical elements and three loops (D, anti-codon, and T loops). Further hydrogen bonds mediate the characteristic L-shaped molecular structure. tRNAs have two regions of fundamental functional importance: the anti-codon, which is responsible for specific mRNA codon recognition, and the 3' end, to which the tRNAs corresponding amino acid is attached (by aminoacyl-tRNA synthetases). tRNAs cope with the degeneracy of the genetic code in two manners: having more than one tRNA (with a specific anti-codon) for a particular amino acid; and 'wobble' base-pairing, i.e. permitting non-standard base-pairing at the 3rd anti-codon position.
Source: Rfam by way of RNAcentral
AGUCCUGUAGCUCAGUGGUUAGAGCACUCGUCUGUCAAGCGAGAGAACUGGGUUCGAUUCCCGGCAGGGCAA